RNAcentral lists this ribosomal RNA (253 nucleotides) under uncultured bacterium. RNAcentral describes it as "partial 16S ribosomal RNA". It matches the Rfam family "Bacterial small subunit ribosomal RNA", at positions 524 to 776 of the family's 1533-position model. The record is from RNAcentral.
UACGAAGGGGGCUAGCGUUGCUCGGAUUGACUGGGCGUAAAGGGCGCGUAGGCGGUUCGUACAGUCAGACGUGAAAUUCCUGGGCUCAACCUGGGGGCUGCGUUUGAUACGUGCGGACUUGAGUGCGGAAGAGGGUCGUGGAAUUCCCAGUGUAGAGGUGAAAUUCGUAGAUAUCGGGAGGAACACCAGUGGCGAAGGCGGCGAUCUGGGAAGAUACUGACGCUGAGGUGCGAAAGCGUGGGGAGCAAACAGG